UAACACUGCAUAUGCAACACU
RNAcentral lists this non-coding RNA (21 nucleotides) under Caenorhabditis elegans. Lineage: Eukaryota; Metazoa; Nematoda; Chromadorea; Rhabditida; Rhabditidae. The record is from RNAcentral.